Molecule: ribosomal RNA, 465 nt
Filed under: Vreelandella stevensii
Lineage: Bacteria; Pseudomonadati; Pseudomonadota; Gammaproteobacteria; Oceanospirillales; Halomonadaceae
Description: partial 16S ribosomal RNA
Rfam family: Bacterial small subunit ribosomal RNA
Source: RNAcentral
CCUACGGGUGGCUGCAGUGGGGAAUAUUGGACAAUGGGGGCAACCCUGAUCCAGCCAUGCCGCGUGUGUGAAGAAGGCCCUCGGGUUGUAAAGCACUUUCAGUGAGGAAGAACGCCUGGUGGUUAAUACCCAUCAGGAAAGACAUCACUCACAGAAGAAGCACCGGCUAACUCCGUGCCAGCAGCCGCGGUAAUACGGAGGGUGCGAGCGUUAAUCGGAAUUACUGGGCGUAAAGCGCGCGUAGGUGGCUUGAUAAGCCGGUUGUGAAAGCCCCGGGCUCAACCUGGGAACGGCAUCCGGGACUGUCAAGCUAGAGUGCAGGAGAGGAAGGUAGAAUUCCCGGUGUAGCGGUGAAAUGCGUAGAGAUCGGGAGGAAUACCAGUGGCGAAGGCGGCCUUCUGGACUGACACUGACACUGAGGUGCGAAAGCGUGGGUAGCAAACAGGAUUAGAUACCCGGGUAGUC